GGCCCUCUAGCUCAGCUUAUAGAGCGCUUACCGUGUUGAGGUAUGGUGUUUAUGUCGCUGGUUCGAAUCCAGCCGGAGCCC
Molecule: non-coding RNA, 81 nt
Organism: Paragonimus skrjabini miyazakii
Lineage: Eukaryota; Metazoa; Platyhelminthes; Trematoda; Plagiorchiida; Troglotrematidae
Source: the annotation of a GenBank genome assembly